This 789-nucleotide long non-coding RNA is filed under the name Homo sapiens (human). Its description in RNAcentral is "HSALNT0167126". Lineage: Eukaryota; Metazoa; Chordata; Mammalia; Primates; Hominidae. The record is from RNAcentral.
UGGAUUAGCUGUCCUGCAAGGUCAGGAGCGCAUUGCCGGAUCACUCUAUUAUUUCGCUGCGCCACAGCUACCCAGCUAACGCCUUUUUCAUGAUAUUUUGAACAUCCACACAGAAAAAACCAAGUGAGUGGACGAGAGAUACAAAUGGAUCGUUUGGUGGAGAAAUCCGUCUUCGUCACCGCCGCCAGGCUGGGAUUAAUGCGACUGAAGGCUCCUCCAGGCUCCGCCAGGGAGACGGCUCGGGAAAGCAAGAGAAAUUGGUAUUGUGCCAGGCUCUGCAGAUGCAACAAGACAGACAAGGUCCCAGCCCUUGUGGAAGUUCUGCCCAGAAGGAAGAGAUCACUACUGUUGGAGGCAACAGGAUGACCCAGGGGGAGAGUGUGGACAAAGUAGAAAGAUCGUAAAGGGGGAAGUUUGUUUAUUAAUCCCUGAUGCUGGUUUCCUUCAAUGGAGAUAAACAGCAGGAGAAUGUUUUCCUCUGCCCUAUUAACAGGACAAUUUAAAUACUGAAUCAGGCCGAGCACCGUGGGUCACGCCUGUAAUCCCAGCACUUUGGAAGGCCAAGGCGCAUGGAUCACCUGAGGUCAGGAGUUCAAGAGCAGCCUGGCCAACAUGGCAAAACUCUGUCUGUACUAAAAAUACAAAAAUUAGCUGGGCAUGGUGGUGCAUGCCUAUAAUCCCAGCUACUGGGGAGGCUGAGGCAUGAGAAUCGCUUCAACCUAGAAGGCAGAGGUUGCAGUGAGCUGAGAUAGUGCCAUUGCACUCCAGCCUGGGCGACAGAGCGAGAGU